GCCAAGUAGGGGCCGGCGGCUGGGGUAGAACGUGGGGGGGGAGGGUUGUCCGGGAUUAUGGGGAGUAAAUGGCUCGUAGGCGGUUUGUCGCGUGGACUGGGAAAACCCGAGGCGUAACCUCGGGCCUGCAGUCGAUAGGGGCAGACUAGAGUUCGGUAGGGGAGACUGGAAUUCCUGGUGUAGCGGUGAAAUGCGCAGAUAUCAGGAGGAACACCGGUGGCGAAGGCGGGUCUCUGGGCCGAUACUGACGCUGAGGAGCGAAAGCGUGGGGAGCGAACAGGAUUAGAUACCCCUGUAGUC
Molecule: ribosomal RNA, 300 nt
Filed under: uncultured Desulfovibrio sp.
Lineage: Bacteria; Pseudomonadati; Thermodesulfobacteriota; Desulfovibrionia; Desulfovibrionales; Desulfovibrionaceae
Description: bacterial SSU rRNA
Rfam family: Bacterial small subunit ribosomal RNA
Source: RNAcentral